CCUCAUGUCUUUAGCCUGAAUCUGUUUUUGGUUUGAAACCAAGAACGUGAACAGGACUAUUUCGUCCAAACAAUUCCACUCUUUAGCCAAAAAAAUUCGAUAGAAAUUUCAAAAAAAAAGGCCACCACAAUUUGGUUCAAAAUUUCAAAGGGAUUCAGGCAGAAUGUCGUUCAACACAUUUCAUGGAAGCAGAAGCUUCAUUCCGUUCAAAUAAUUCUAGGAACAGGUAUGUUAAGUUUCUCCCUUCUUUCUUUUGGCAUGGUCCAAAUUACACUGAAGAAACGAGCAAACACACAGUUUCCAUAAAUUACUCCAUUCAUAGAAUUAUUAGGGGUGUCUAUAAUCUUGAUUCCCCAUAAAAAUUAUUAUUAUUUUAUGUUCAUAGGUCUCAGAAUAAUACGCAGUUGAAAAAGUUUAUCCGGAAGGAAUAUUGAGAUUAUUACGUAUUUUUCAUGCAUUUUACUUAUGUACAUUGACCCAUGAUCAUAUGGCGUUAUAUAUGCAUAUAUAUGUAUAUUUUAUUUAUAUGGGAUACAGGAAGAAGGUUACGGGGUUAUAUAUGUACCACAACCAGAUCAACUGGUAUAUGAUGAUGAUGUUGCCCAUAGUGGCUGAAAUAUGACUCAAACGGCAUUAUAUACGCGUAUAUAUGUAAAUAUAUGUAUAUGGGGUAUAGAAAAAGGUUACAGCAUUAUAUACACACCACCACCUGAUAAGCUGGUAUAUGUUGGUGAUGUGUCCACAGUGUCCAAGACGAUAUGAUGGGAUGCCCUCAGUGGCUUAUGUACACCCAUACCUAUGCAUGACAUGACAUUUAUAUGCAUGUGCAUAAUGUUAUAAACAUUUUAGAAUUUACAAAGUUGUUUAGAUUUAAAGACAUGUUUCUAUAUUCCAUGUUUCAUCUAUGUCUGUUACGCACUAAUUUUCAUUCCUUACAUACUCAGUACAUUUUUUGUAUUGACGCCCUAUUUCACGGGGCCUACGUUUCAUGCCUGCAGGUGCAGGUAGGCAACCAGACGGUCCCCCUUCUUAGGACCCCUGACCUGCGAGAGUUGGCGUGCUCCAUUUGAUCCGGAGUUGCUUUUGAUUUUGGGUACGAUACGUUUAUAUAUAUAUAUAUGGGUAUGAUGUGGCUCAGUCCUGUCUUUGUACAAUUAUGUUCCUAUUAGAGGUCUGUGGACAGUAUGUCUAGCUAGGUUGUAUGUGACAUUGUCGG
Molecule: long non-coding RNA, 1216 nt
Filed under: Nicotiana tabacum (common tobacco)
Lineage: Eukaryota; Viridiplantae; Streptophyta; Magnoliopsida; Solanales; Solanaceae
Description: long non-coding RNA (NTAB_LNC008674)
Source: RNAcentral